GCCUCUGUAGCUCAGUUGGUAGAGCAGGGGACUGAUAAUACACGUGUGGUUGGUUCGAUUCCGACCGGAGGCACCA
This 76-nucleotide transfer RNA is filed under the name Clostridia bacterium. RNAcentral describes it as "tRNA-Ile". It matches the Rfam family "tRNA". Rfam says of the family: Transfer RNA (tRNA) molecules are approximately 80 nucleotides in length. Their secondary structure includes four short double-helical elements and three loops (D, anti-codon, and T loops). Lineage: Bacteria; Bacillati; Bacillota; Clostridia. The record is from RNAcentral.